This 464-nucleotide ribosomal RNA is filed under the name uncultured organism. RNAcentral's name for it is "bacterial SSU rRNA". It matches the Rfam family "Bacterial small subunit ribosomal RNA", at positions 28 to 507 of the family's 1533-position model. The record is from RNAcentral.
GACGAACGCUGGCGGCACGCCUAACACAUGCAAGUCGAACGGAGCAAAUUAGUUUACUAAGGUGCUUAGUGGCGGACGGGUGAGUAACACGUGAGCAACCUGCCUUUCUGAGGGGGAUAACGUUUGGAAACGAACGCUAAUACCGCAUAACAUAUGACUGUCACAUGGCAGACAUAUCAAAGGAGUAAUCCGCAGAAAGAUGGGCUCGCGUCUGAUUAGCUAGUUGGUGAGGUAAUGGCUCACCAAGGCGACGAUCAGUAGCCGGACUGAGAGGUUGAACGGCCACAUUGGGACUGAGACACGGCCCAGACUCCUACGGGAGGCAGCAGUGGGGGAUAUUGCACAAUGGGGGAAACCCUGAUGCAGCGAUGCCGCGUGGAGGAAGAAGGUUUUCGGAUUGUAAACUCCUGUCUUCAGGGACGAUAAUGACGGUACCUGAGGAGGAAGCACCGGCUAACUACGUG